Lutzomyia longipalpis is the source of this 675-nucleotide long non-coding RNA. RefSeq lists it as uncharacterized. The record is from RefSeq and is a predicted model, not a curated record. The transcript has 2 exons. Lineage: Eukaryota; Metazoa; Arthropoda; Insecta; Diptera; Psychodidae.
UUUAGCUGUUUUUUUUUUUCUCUCCAUUUCUCUGCGAUAAAACUUUUGCUCUAGUUUUAAAUACAAUAUUCGUGAAGAAACUAAAAUCAGUUCUAUUUCAUUCUCAGCACUUGUUGGAAUUUCUAUAAUAAAAAAAUGAAGUUCUUUCUCUUUUCAUUGCUAUUCCUUUUGACUUUUCAAAGAAUUUUGUGUAUUUUAACGAAUGAUUUGAAAAAUGAAAGAAUGAUCUACCGGAAUGGAAAAUUAUUUUACAUCAGCAAGAAUAAGUUGUCCUGGCCAAAGGCUGAAAAAGCCUGUCUCAGUAAAGGCAUGCAUUUAGCCUCAGUACACAACAGUGCAGAACAAGAAGCAGUUGCUGAACUAUCUAAACGUGUAUCUGAUAGUGUCUGGAUCGGUGGCUACAACUAUCAAGGCAAUCAAUGGCGUUGGAUUGGAAAUGGUCACUUCCUGGGUCCCUUCAGGAAGUGGAUUAGAGGAAUGCCAGAUAACUACAAAGCCAAGCAAAAUUGCAUUCGUCUUGAUCAUGCACAAAGGCACGAUUGGGAUGAUAUUGAAUGCUUUUACGAUCUAUAUUAUAUUUGUGAUUACACUGUUAUUGAAUAAUGUUGUGAAUCUACAAGAAUUAUGUUCAAUAAACUCAAAAAAAAAAUAAUAAAUUGCAAAAUUAAAGAAAAA